RNAcentral lists this non-coding RNA (28 nucleotides) under Homo sapiens (human). The record is from RNAcentral. Lineage: Eukaryota; Metazoa; Chordata; Mammalia; Primates; Hominidae.
UCGACCAAUAUCGUGUGUGCCAGGAGGU